UCCAAUGCCUCAGGUGACUGAAGCCCCUGGCGUGGGCAGGUCACCCGUGCAGGUGAAGGGGAGAGAAGCUCCAGCAUUUCAGUGCCCAUCUCUGCAUUAGCCAGGCGCCACCGUGAGAUUAAGGAGCUCUGCAGUGACAUUCUCAACACGGACUGUUCAAAGGUCAGCAGAGCCUUUCAUUCUGGGAAAGCCCAGA
This 196-nucleotide long non-coding RNA is filed under the name Taeniopygia guttata (zebra finch). RNAcentral's name for it is "lncRNA (ENSTGUG00000019997.1)". Lineage: Eukaryota; Metazoa; Chordata; Aves; Passeriformes; Estrildidae. The record is from RNAcentral.